This is a ribosomal RNA of Pteropus vampyrus (large flying fox), 132 nucleotides long. NCBI's taxonomy places the organism in Eukaryota, Metazoa, Chordata, Mammalia, Chiroptera, Pteropodidae. The record is from Ensembl.
GUCUAUGGCCAUGCCACCCUUAACAUGCCCAAUCUCGUCUGAUCUCGGAAACUAAGCAGGGUUGGGCCUGGUUAGUAUUCGGAUGGGAGACCACCUAGAAAGACCAUCUAGGAAGAUCGGGUGCUGUAGAUG